Gavialis gangeticus (Gharial) is the source of this 446-nucleotide long non-coding RNA. RefSeq lists it as uncharacterized. The transcript has 3 exons. Lineage: Eukaryota; Metazoa; Chordata; Crocodylia; Gavialidae. The record is from RefSeq and is a predicted model, not a curated record.
GAGAUUUGGCUGCCAAAUCUCUUCCAAAAUGAAUCAGCACCUGAAGCUUUGCACAGCCCUAAUGUACAGCCAUAAAACAGUUUGGCUAAUAGAACAUGGAGCACUCACCAGGAGGAGGAGGAGGAUCUAGACUUUUCCUGGGCCCCGUCUUGGGUUCCUUCAGCAUGACAAAUUUCCAGCAGAGUUGUAUGCAUCAUAGUUGAUAUUAACUUUGCUGACUUUCAGUUAAGUGGCAGAAUUUGGAAUUGUCCCUCAUUUUCCUUGUUCCCUAUGUGUACGGGUGUGUUGAAAAUUGUCAACCUUUUCUACAGUUCUCAUUUUUAAGGCUCAUGCUGACAGCUACUGACAGGCUGUAAUGAUUCUGUCCUAAUACCCUUGUUACCUGAACUCCUGCCUCUUUUAGGGAGCUUUAAAUGAGCACAAAGCUAUAAUGAACUUUAAAUAAA